UACGUAGGGGGCUAGCGUUGCUCGGAAUGACUGGGCGUAAAGGGCGCGUAGGCGGCUUGCACAGUCAGGCGUGAAAUUCCUGGGCUCAACCUGGGGACUGCGCUUGAGACGUGUGGGCUUGAGUGGGGAAGAGGGUCGUGGAAUUCCCAGUGUAGAGGUGAAAUUCGUAGAUAUCUGGAGGAACACCGGUGGCGAAGGCGGCAUCCUGGACCAUUACUGACGCUGAGGAGCGAAAGCUAGGGGAGCAAAUGGG
Molecule: ribosomal RNA, 253 nt
Filed under: uncultured bacterium
Lineage: Bacteria
Description: partial 16S ribosomal RNA
Rfam family: Bacterial small subunit ribosomal RNA
Source: RNAcentral